RNAcentral lists this long non-coding RNA (467 nucleotides) under Numida meleagris (helmeted guineafowl). RNAcentral's name for it is "lncRNA (ENSNMEG00000014800.1)". The record is from RNAcentral. Lineage: Eukaryota; Metazoa; Chordata; Aves; Galliformes; Numididae.
AUGUGUCUUGCUUCUGUUUUUCAGGAGAGCAAUCAAGCAAGCCUGCGUUAUACUAUAAAGGGAGGCUGUAUGCAAUCUCCUUUUGCGUCAUUUCAAAUGCAGCAGAAGCAAAUUGCCGAAAUGGAAACCAACACCUUUGGUCUAAAAAAAUGUGCCUCACUGAUGCCAGAGGUUGGCAUGGGACUGUGUGCUGCAGCUGCUGCCAUUUUGUGUGGGCUGUGUGGUGCGAGAGGCUCAACUGCCUUGUCCCCUUGUGUCUAUGCUUCUUUUCCAUUACGUCUGCAGAAAGAAAAACUGACAAGUGGAAAUCAUCACCAGUUAAGAUGGGAAGAAUGGAGAGAACAGGCAAGGGAAAGGUGAAAUUGCCAAGAGUCUUCCAGGUGACCUACGGAAGUCUGGCUCUGUGCCUUUCUGCUGCUUAUGGACCACCCAGGCCAGCUGGCAAGAAGCAGAUAUGUAGUUUCUGA